UCUCAUAUCUGUCCGUUUCCACUUCGCUGCUCUCCACCGGUCUCGGCGUGGUCUGUGGAUUCCGGAGAGCAAGGCAUGCGUCGGCUUCGUGCCGCAGGUUCCUGGCCCACGCCAGCCGGACCCAGUAGCAUAAUGGGUGAUCUCUAGAGACUGCGCAGGGGCCCCGUCCCCUCACCUAGAUGUCGGCUAACCUUGGGAUCCAGACAAAGGUGGAAUCCUAGAAGUGACCUGGAUGGCCUAAUGAUCUCACGUCUGAGAGCCAGCCCUGAAAAGGGCUUUGCUCCUACUCACACUGGCAAGUUGGAUGCCUUUUUACUGCAUUGCUGUCAGCUAUCUGAACAUGAGUGGCUGUAGGGUGUAAGCUAUGCAUGCUGGCUGCCCUACGCCCGCCCAGACUGAACCAGGACCUCACUUGAACAUGAGUAUUAGACAAUGUAAAAACUUACCUUGCCCAGACUUGAUAUAACAGCUUGGAAAUGCAUAGUUUCGUGAAAGAGCCUAAUAAAAUACUUUUUAAAGUA
This 521-nucleotide long non-coding RNA is filed under the name Mus pahari (shrew mouse). RNAcentral describes it as "lncRNA (MGP_PahariEiJ_G0012231.1)". Lineage: Eukaryota; Metazoa; Chordata; Mammalia; Rodentia; Muridae. The record is from RNAcentral.